This 472-nucleotide ribosomal RNA is filed under the name uncultured bacterium. RNAcentral's name for it is "SSU rRNA". It matches the Rfam family "Bacterial small subunit ribosomal RNA", at positions 26 to 518 of the family's 1533-position model. The record is from RNAcentral.
AGGAUAAACGCUGGCGGCGUGCCUAACACAUGCAAGUCGAACGUCUCUUCUUUCGGGAAGAGGAGUGGCGGACGGGUGAGGAACACGUGGGAACCUGCCCUUUAGUGAGGAAUACCGGCGAGAAAUCGCCGACAAGACCGCAUAGCCCUCUUUGAUGAGAGUCAAAGAAGGAAAGCUUCGCAAGAGGCGCUAGAGGAGGGGCCUGCGUCCGAUUAGCUAGUUGGUGGGGUAAGAGCCUACCAAGGCGUCGAUCGGUAGCUGGCCUGAGAGGACGAUCAGCCACACUGGGAUUGAGAACGGCCCAGACUCCUACGGGGGCAGCAGUGAGGAAUUUUCGGCAAUGGGGGAAACCCUGACCGAGCAACGCCGCGUGCAGGAAGACGGCCUUCGGUUGUAAACUGCUUUUCUUUGGGUAAGUAGGAAGGACGGUACCAGAGGAAUCAGCCCCGGCUCACUACGUGCCAGCAGCCGC